GAACGGACGAGGAGGAGCUUGCUUCUCCAAGUCAGUGGCGGACGGGUGAGUAACGCGUGAGUAACCUGCCCUUCAGAGGGGGAUAACGUCUGGAAACGGACGCUAAUACCGCAUGACAUAUUUCCAUCGCAUGGUGGAGAUAUCAAAGGAGCAAUCCGCUGAAGGAUGGACUCGCGUCCGAUUAGAUAGUUGGCGGGGUAACGGCCCACCAAGUCGACGAUCGGUAGCCGGACUGAGAGGUUGAACGGCCACAUUGGGACUGAGACACGGCCCAGACUCCUACGGGAGGCAGCAGUGGGGGAUAUUGCACAAUGGGCGAAAGCCUGAUGCAGCAACGCCGCGUGAGGGAAGACGGUUUUCGGAUUGUAAACCUCUGUUCUAAGUGACGAACAAAUGACGGUAGCUUAGGAGAAAGCCCCGGCUAACUACGUGCCAGCAGCCGCGGUAAUACGUAGGGGGCAAGCGUUGUCCGGAAUUACUGGGUGUAAAGGGAGCGCAGGCGGAGAAGCAAGUCAGAGGUGAAAACGAUGGGCUUAACUCAUCGACUGCCAUUGAAACUGUUUCCCUUGAGUGAAGUAGAGGCAGGCGGAAUUCCGAGUGUAGCGGUGAAAUGCGUAGAUAUUCGGAGGAACACCAGUGGCGAAGGCGGCCUGCUGGGCUUUAACUGACGCUG
Molecule: ribosomal RNA, 673 nt
Filed under: uncultured Lachnospiraceae bacterium
Lineage: Bacteria; Bacillati; Bacillota; Clostridia; Lachnospirales; Lachnospiraceae
Description: bacterial SSU rRNA
Rfam family: Bacterial small subunit ribosomal RNA
Source: RNAcentral